AGCCAUGUGGUGAACACAAAGCGAACUAUUCUUUCGCCUUUUACUAAAGAAUACCGUGUGUUCGUCACAUUUCAAUGGCAUAAAUUAAUUUUUGUUGGGUUUUAAUUCUCUUUGAGAU
This is a non-coding RNA of Zostera marina, 118 nucleotides long. NCBI's taxonomy places the organism in Eukaryota, Viridiplantae, Streptophyta, Magnoliopsida, Alismatales, Zosteraceae. The record is from Rfam.